Molecule: ribosomal RNA, 495 nt
Filed under: uncultured bacterium
Lineage: Bacteria
Description: partial 16S ribosomal RNA
Rfam family: Bacterial small subunit ribosomal RNA
Source: RNAcentral
GAUGAACGCUGGCGGCGUGCCUAAUACAUGCAAGUAGAACGCUGAAGGAGGAGCUUGCUCUUCUGGAUGAGUUGCGAACGGGUGAGUAACGCGUAGGUAACCUGCCUGGUAGCGGGGGAUAACUAUUGGAAACGAUAGCUAAUACCGCAUGACAACAGUUAUUGCAUGAUAACUGUUUAAAAGGGGCAACUGCUCCACUACCAGAUGGACCUGCGUUGUAUUAGCUAGUUGGUGAGGUAACGGCUCACCAAGGCGACGAUACAUAGCCGACCUGAGAGGGUGAUCGGCCGCGCUGGGACUGAGACACGGCCCAGACUCCUACGGGAGGCAGCAGUAGGGAAUCUUCGGCAAUGGACGGAAGUCUGACCGAGCAACGCCGCGUGAGUGAAGAAGGUUUUCGGAUCGUAAAGCUCUGUUGUAAGAGAAGAACGAGUGUGAGAGUGGAAAGUUCACACUGUGACGGUAUCUUACCAGAAAGGGACGGCUAACUACGUG